GAUGAACGCUGGCGGCGUGCCUAACACAUGCAAGUCGAGCGAUUCUCUUCGGAGAAGAGCGGCGGACGGGUGAGUAACGCGUGGGUAACCUGCCCUGUACACACGGAUAACAUACCGAAAGGUAUGCUAAUACGGGAUAACGUAAGAAAUUCGCAUGUUUUUCUUAUCAAAGCUCCGGCGGUACAGGAUGUACCCGCGUCUGAUUAGCUAGUUGGUGAGGUAAUGGCUCACCAAGGCAACGAUCAGUAGCCACCCUGAGAGGGUGAUCGGCCACAGUGGAAAUGAGCCACGGGCCAAACUCCAACGGCAAGCAGCAGUGGGUAAUAUUGCACAAUGGGAGAAAGGAUGAUACAGCAACGCCGCGUGAGCGAUGAAGGCCUACGGGUCGUAAAGCUCUGUCCUCAAGGGAGAUAAUGACGGUACUUGAGGAGGAAGCCCCGACUAACUACGUGCCAGCAGCCGAAGUAA
Molecule: ribosomal RNA, 468 nt
Filed under: uncultured bacterium
Lineage: Bacteria
Description: partial 16S ribosomal RNA
Rfam family: Bacterial small subunit ribosomal RNA
Source: RNAcentral